UGACGGCAAGUUUGGGCCACAACCUAUGGCAGUGCCUCAAUUCCAGCAGAUGUCUCGCAUUGAUCAGCAAGUUCCUCCCUCAGUUGGGUAUCCACCUCAACCGGCAUAUCCACCUCAGCCGGCGUAUGGGCAACCUUAUGGCUAUCCACCUCCCCAGCAGGCUCAAGGCUAUCCACCAGCUGGUUAUCCUCCAAGUGGCUAUCCACAUUCUGGCCAUUAACUCUAGGUGAUUUUUGAGUUCGAAUCACCAUUUGUGGUGGCCUCUGUAUUCAAUUGUGUUACAUGUUGUUGGUUUGCAAGUAUUGUCACCGUGAAGUUCCAAC
Molecule: long non-coding RNA, 323 nt
Filed under: Prunus persica (peach)
Lineage: Eukaryota; Viridiplantae; Streptophyta; Magnoliopsida; Rosales; Rosaceae
Description: long non-coding RNA (PPER_LNC005442)
Source: RNAcentral